CCUACGGGCGGCUGCAGUAGGGAAUAUUGGGCAAUGGACGAAAGUCUGACCCAGCCAUGCCGCGUGCAGGAUGACUGCCCUAUGGGUUGUAAACUGCUUUUCUAUGGGAAGAAACACUCAUACGUGUAUGAACUUGACGGUACCAUAGGAAUAAGGAUCGGCUAACUCCGUGCCAGCAGCCGCGGUAAUACGGAGGAUCCAAGCGUUAUCCGGAUUCAUUGGGUUUAAGGGGUACGAAGGCGGACUACUUGAAAUCGUGCGGCUCAACCGGAAAAUUGCCUGUGAAACUGGUAGUCUGGAGUGCGGUCGAGGUGGAUGGAAUGUGUCAUGUAGCGGUGAAAUGCUUAGAUAUGACCCAGAACACCAAUUGCGAAGGCAGUUCACUAGACCGAUACUGACGCUGAGGCACGAAAGCGUGGGGAGCGAACAGGAUUAGAUACCCUUGUAGUC
Molecule: ribosomal RNA, 450 nt
Filed under: uncultured bacterium
Lineage: Bacteria
Description: partial 16S ribosomal RNA
Rfam family: Bacterial small subunit ribosomal RNA
Source: RNAcentral